CUUUCCUUUGCUCAUAUAUUGAGCGUGGCAAAGCCCUGCCAGCCUUGAAGAUGAUCUGAAUAUAAAUAGAUUGCCUGCUUCAGCCAUGUUUUCAGAAGUCAAUUGAAGGCAUGCUGAGCAGUUGCAGAUGCAGAACCUGAGAAGUAAGUUGCUCUGGAUUUGAGAAGAAUCACUCUCGACGCAAGGCUUUUUGCUGCUGUCCGUGCAGACAACCAUACACACCGCUGACACAGCCAAGCUCCAUGUCUUGUGUCUAAAUGCCUGCAGGGUGAUUCCCAACCUGUUCUGUACCUGGAGCCUUCCUCAGACCUAACUACACCUGACACCCCACCACCCCAAUAAGCGUAGAGGUGUUUGGUAUUUUCCCUCUGAAGCACAAACUCUGCAGUAAAGGCAAGUUCAAGCUGCAGAAGAAUCAAAAUCAAAUCUCCAGUUGCCUUGAUGGAACACCAAAUCCCAUCUCCCACCUUCUGGGAGGGUGUUCUUGUCCUGAGGCUCCUACGGCUCUCAGCCUCUCCCUCCCGCUUGGUGUGGGACAUCUGCAUCUUACCUAAGCUAACCACAAUUUUGCAGCUCAGGAGACAGGGUACUGGCUCAUGAGGAAGACCUGAGCUCCAGUCCUUGCUCAAAAUAAAAGAUCAGUGCUUUGGCAACGUAUUUGCUAGCAAGGCUUUAAAGAAAGGCAGAGCACUGGGAUGGGGAGCCAGGUCAGCAAGUAAACUCCUG
Non-coding RNA from Anas platyrhynchos (mallard), 726 nucleotides. NCBI's taxonomy places the organism in Eukaryota, Metazoa, Chordata, Aves, Anseriformes, Anatidae. The record is from RefSeq and is a predicted model, not a curated record.